Molecule: unclassified non-coding RNA, 224 nt
Filed under: Hevea brasiliensis (rubber tree)
Lineage: Eukaryota; Viridiplantae; Streptophyta; Magnoliopsida; Malpighiales; Euphorbiaceae
Source: RNAcentral
GUUUAAUGUGACUGAUCAAGUUGGAAAUAAAGUAAGAGAUGAACAAAUCAUCAGCUAUAUCCAAAAGACUCUUGAAAAUGAUGAGGUUCUGUUACCCUCUUUAAGGGGAACUGUUGGCUUGAUACCUUCUGAAGAGCACACGUCCAUUGAACUUAGUGGUACAGACAGACCUGGCUUAUUGUCUGAAGUGUGCGCAGUUCUUGCUGACCUUCACUGUAAUGUGG